This 305-nucleotide ribosomal RNA is filed under the name uncultured bacterium. RNAcentral's name for it is "bacterial SSU rRNA". It matches the Rfam family "Bacterial small subunit ribosomal RNA", at positions 334 to 638 of the family's 1533-position model. The record is from RNAcentral.
UAAUCCUAGGGGGGCAGCAGUGAGGAAUAUUGGUCAAUGGCCGCAGGGCUGAACCAGCCAAGUCGCGUGAGGGAUGACGGUCCUAUGGAUUGUAAACCUCUUUUGUCGGGGAGCAAAGAGAGUCACGUGUGACUCAUUGAGAGUACCCGAAGAAAAAGCAUCGGCUAACUCCGUGCCAGCAGCCGCGGUAAUACGGAGGAUGCGAGCGUUAUCCGGAUUUAUUGGGUUUAAAGGGUGCGCAGGCGGAGGUGCAAGUCAGCGGUCAAAUUGCGGGGCUCAACCCCGUACUGCCGUUGAAACUGCAU